UGGGUGCACAAAUAGCAUGUGUGUGUUUUAGUAUGUGUGUGGUGCACUAGGUGUAGUGUGUGUAUAUGUGUUCUAGGAGUUGUAUGUGUGUGUGUUACUCAUGUCCAUGGGUGUUGAGCAUAUGCUCUAGUUUGUGCAAGUGUGUGAGUGUGUGUGUGUGUGGGUUCCCCCCCCCCACAUACUUGUGUGUGGAUGUGCAUGUGUGUGUGUGGUAUGGUGAUGUGCUAUGGCACACAUACAUGAGGUCUAAACCCUCAUGUCACCACUUGGGUUUGUGGGUGUGUGCAAUGCAUGUGUAGGUG
This 302-nucleotide long non-coding RNA is filed under the name Hordeum vulgare. RNAcentral's name for it is "long non-coding RNA (HVUL_LNC007443)". The record is from RNAcentral. Lineage: Eukaryota; Viridiplantae; Streptophyta; Magnoliopsida; Poales; Poaceae.